Molecule: long non-coding RNA, 565 nt
Organism: Lontra canadensis (Northern American river otter)
Lineage: Eukaryota; Metazoa; Chordata; Mammalia; Carnivora; Mustelidae
Exons: 3
Source: RefSeq, a predicted model, not a curated record
CGGUGAAAUUAGGAAGUGAGGGACCUGCUUUCUAGUCCUGAUAAAAUGCAGUAUAGACGGGAACGGAAACGCGGUUAGUUAAAAUAGAAAAGCAUCUUACCCGCGGUGUACUUCAAAAAGCCAUGGGAAGAUGCAGUGAGAAGGUAGCCAUCUACAAGCCAGGAAGAGAAUUCUCAACAGGAACCAAAUCAGCCAGUACCUUGACCUUGACUUGCCAGCCUCCAGAACUGUGAGAAAAUAAACCUCCAUCCACACCAUACGCAAGAAAUAAAUUCAAAAUGGAUGAAAGACCUAAAUGUGAGACAUGAAACCAUUGAAGUCCUGGAGGAGAACACAAGCAGUCUCAUCUUUGACAUUCGGCCAUAGCCACUUCUUACUAAAUAUGUCUCCUGAGGCAAGAGAAACAAAAGCAAAAUUAAACUGUUGGGACUUCAGAGAAGCUUUCUUGGAUCACUCUGUCUAAAUAUCACUCAUCUGCAGUACUCUGCGUAGCAUGUAUCACCAACUGAUCAUAUUCACAGUUUAGUUUUUCCUUUAAUUGUCGGUUUCUUUCAUUAAAAUGUAU